Non-coding RNA from Octopus bimaculoides (California two-spot octopus), 68 nucleotides. The record is from Rfam. NCBI's taxonomy places the organism in Eukaryota, Metazoa, Mollusca, Cephalopoda, Octopoda, Octopodidae.
CCUUUCAUCAAAGUGGCUGUCAUAUGCUUUCCAAUCCUUCAUAUCACAGCCUGCUUUGAUGAGAGGAA